AUCCUACGGGAGGCAGCAGUAAGGAAUAUUGCGCAAUGGAGGCAACUCUGACGCAGCAACGCCGCGUGCGGGAAGCAGGUCUUCGGAUCGUAAACCGCUUUUGUGAGGGAAGAGAACGGACGGUACCUCACGAAUAAGUCUCGGCUAACUACGUGCCAGCAGCCGCGGUAAUAAUC
This 176-nucleotide ribosomal RNA is filed under the name uncultured bacterium. RNAcentral describes it as "partial 16S ribosomal RNA". It matches the Rfam family "Bacterial small subunit ribosomal RNA", at positions 335 to 526 of the family's 1533-position model. The record is from RNAcentral.